Molecule: long non-coding RNA, 994 nt
Filed under: Marmota monax (woodchuck)
Lineage: Eukaryota; Metazoa; Chordata; Mammalia; Rodentia; Sciuridae
Source: RNAcentral
CAGUGCCUGACGCAUGCUAGGCACAACCCCAGCCUGGACAAAAUCAUUAUUUAUUUAUUUAUUUAUUAAUAUUUAUUUUUUAGUUUUAGGUGGCACAAUAUUUUUAUCUUAUUUUUAUGUGGUGCUGAGGAUCAAACCCAGUACCUCGCGUAUGCCAGGCGAGCACGCUACCACUUGAGCCACAUCCCCAGCCCAACAAAAUCAUUUUAAAGUGAAAAAUUCAGUGGCAUUUACUACGUUUAUGAUGUUGUGCAACCCGUACCUCUAUCUAGUUCCAAAAUAUUUUCUUCACCCUAUAAGGAAACUCUAUACCUCAUUAAGCAGUUACUCUCCAUUUACCAUUUUCACCAGCCUCUGGUAACCACUAGUGGAUUUUCUGCCUGUAUGGAUUAUGGAUUUGCCUAUUCUGUAUAUUCCCUGUUACUAGAAUCAUACAAUAUUUAACCAUUUGUACAUACCUUCUAAUGUUUUUGAGGUUCAUCCAUGUUGUAGCAUGUAUCAAUUUCACAGUCCUUUUUGUGGCUAAAUAAUAUUCUACUGUAUGUAUAGACUGCAGUUUAUCCAUUUAUACAUCAAUGUACAUUUGGACUGUUUUCUUCUUGACUAUUGUGAAUUAGGUUGCUAUGAUUGUGUACCUGUUUUCAGUACUUUUGGGUACAUAACUUAGGAGUGAAAUUGCGGGAUCAUAUAGUAAUUCUGUGUUUAACUCUCAGAGGGAACUGCAAAACUGUAUAAACUGUAUUCCACCACACCUGAACCAUUUUAUAUUCCCACCAGCCAUGUAAGAGGGAUUCUAUUUUCUCUAACUCAGGGCCAACACUUGAUAUUUUGUUUUUGUUUUAAUCAUAUUCAUCCUAAUGGGUGAAAUAAUGAUACCUCAUUGUGAUUUUAAUUUGCGUUUCCUUAAUGACUAAUAUGUUGUUUUUUUCAUAUGUUUGUUAGCCAUUUGUAUAUAUUCUUUGAAAAAAUGCCUACUCAAGCUCUAACUAUUCUC